CCCUUAGAUGUUCUGGGCCGCACGCGUGCUACACUGAGUAAAUCAAUGGGUAAGGGAACACGAAAGUGCAACCUAAUCUUGAAAUUUGCUCGUGAUGGGGAUCGACGGUUGCAAUUUUCCGUCGUGAACGAGGAAUACCUUGUAGGCGCGUGUCAUCAUCACACGCCGAAUACGUCCCUGCCCUUUGUACACACCGCCCGUCGCUCCUACCGAUUGAGUGAUCCGGUGAGGCUCUGGGACCUGGACGGAAAGAGCGUUUCGCUUGUUCUGUUUGGGAAACUUGGUCGAACCUUAUCAUUUAGAGGAAGGAGAAGUCGUAACA
This 322-nucleotide ribosomal RNA is filed under the name uncultured eukaryote. RNAcentral's name for it is "partial 18S ribosomal RNA". It matches the Rfam family "Eukaryotic small subunit ribosomal RNA", at positions 1470 to 1796 of the family's 1831-position model. The record is from RNAcentral.